Molecule: long non-coding RNA, 1821 nt
Organism: Dalotia coriaria
Lineage: Eukaryota; Metazoa; Arthropoda; Insecta; Coleoptera; Staphylinidae
Exons: 4
Source: RefSeq, a predicted model, not a curated record
UUCACGCUGUGUUUACCUGUACACGAACUGCACUCUGCAGUUACGUCCGGUCUGUUUUUGGUGCAGGGUGGUACAAACUCAGCUCGCGCAGGUUUAUUAAAAAUUUAAUUUGACGAAUCUAAUUUAAUUAUAUUAAAAUUGAAAAUAUGUUAUUUGAACCGGGCGUCUUGAGUUAAUAAGUCUGUCUGUGAUGCGUUUGCUAAUCCGGUGCCGAAGUGAUGCGUAUUUAUAAUCAAUUAGCACUCUAUUUUGGAUCAGUUCUCGGGAGCGCCGUCUUAAGAACAACAGAACAGUUUUUAAAGAUGGGCUGUUAAAUUGAUAUUCGGAUUCUAGUCUACUUUGCGGUGGAUGUGGAAGCGACCUAUUAAUCUGCACGGGGCUAUCGUGUUCAUGACGAUAAGCGUCUUUUGGUUUCCUCAGAACGCACUAGGAUUUUCGGACUUGUUUCAAAAUGUAAGUGAUAGAAUUUACUGUUUUCCUAAUUUUUUACGCAGAUUAUGGUGCCGGACAAAAUGAUUUCUUGCCCUGUAUUGGAGAGAGUUUUGUUGAAAAUAUAACAAGCCUAACAAGAAAGCAUCUUUAGGUUUCUUUACAACGUGUUCUCAGGACACUGCCUAAUUUUUCCCAAAAUGUUUAACGCGGCGCCGUCGGUUGAUGAAAAGCAGCACCGAGGAUGAAACUACCGAAUGCUGCCUUUGAAUUUGAAUGCGAAAAAAGAAAGACCAAGCACUUCUUGACCUGACCUGUUUGAGAAGUGAAACCAGCUCCCAAAUCCAACCAAUUGUGCAGGAUAAGACUCAACAAGACUCAACAAGAACUGAUGAAUUGUUACCUGCGCUUUUAAGAAUAUUUGUUUAUAUAAUAUGAAAACAACUUGAUUGAAAAUUUAAUGCUGCUGGAAAAUAGCGCCAAAUUUAGUUUUACGACGCACUUUAUUUCAAAAUGCAGCCCAAGAUUUAAUCCCAAAUUGUUGUUGCAAUAUAUGUUAGAUUGUAUUGUUUUUACUAUAGACAUAUUCAAUUCCACGCCGGGAAUAAAAUUGUAUUGUUCUAUAUUUUAUAUUUUCGUUAUUCUUUAAUUUGACUGAGAUAAGUAACGUAAAACUUUAGUUAUAAAUUUAAUUUAGACUACUCCUAAGAUGAGCAAAAUUCGGCUGAUUUUGAUUCUGUGCACAAAAUGCUACAAUAAUUUUAAAUUGUUUGAAAUAUUGCUUUGAAAACAGUGGAAUACAAGUGAUAACAUAACAAAAAGAUACGGAACGCAGAGGUAUGCGAAAGAGGCCUAAAACAGGACAAUAAUUGUUUAUCAAGUGUAAAUUGUUAGUUUUCAUUUACUCUUUGCUUUGUUAAGUACAGCGUUAAAGCACAGCACUGUAAAUAGUCGAUUCAAAAUAAAAUUUUACAUUUCAUCAACAAGUAUAUUAGGUAGCCAUUUACUGCUAUGGAUGUGUUGUCAUGUGUUGCAAAUUGCGUUUAACAUUAACUGCACUAUGGCGGUACAGAAUCGGCACUUAUAUUUGCUUAUUACAAGUCGAAACAUGUAAAUUUUUAACUUAUAAAUGUAUUUUCACUGAGAGCGUUUUUUUGUCUAUUUGCACUGGUUUAAUUGAAGGAUCUGCAAUUGUUUCGCCGGUGAGGACAUCGUCAGGACUAUCAACACGGCACUUCAAAGACAUUGCUUAAAUAAUAUUUCUAGACUUAAGUCGGCGGAGACGCGUACUUGGAUGGAAUAAUAUUUAUUUUGUGAUACCUAUUUAAACUUUGCGACUCUACCACAGGUAGGAUUUUUAAUUUAUUUUUAAAAUGUAUGACAAAUAAGCAA